RNAcentral lists this ribosomal RNA (408 nucleotides) under uncultured Methylomirabilota bacterium. RNAcentral describes it as "bacterial SSU rRNA". It matches the Rfam family "Bacterial small subunit ribosomal RNA", at positions 1027 to 1434 of the family's 1533-position model. The record is from RNAcentral. Lineage: Bacteria; Methylomirabilota (SeqCode).
CGUGGAGACAGGUGGUGCAUGGCUGUCGUCAGCUCGUGUCGUGAGGUGUUGGGUUAAGUCCCGCAACGAGCGCAACCCUCACCCCUUGUUGCCAUCAGGUCAUGCUGGGCACUCUAGGGGAACUGCCCCGGUCAACGGGGAGGAAGGUGGGGACGACGUCAAGUCAUCAUGCCCCUUACGUCCUGGGCUACACACGUGCUACAAUGGCCGGUACAAAGGGAUGCAAGACCGUGAGGUGGAGCUAAACCCAAAAAGCCGGUCUAAGUUCAGAUUGGAGUCUGCAACUCGACUCCAUGAAGGAGGAAUCGCUAGUAAUCGCGUAUCAGCACGACGCGGUGAAUACGUUCCCGGGCCUUGUACACACCGCCCGUCACACCACGAAAGCCUGCUGUACUCGAAGUCGCUGAG